AACGCUGGCGGCGUGCUUAACACAUGCAAGUCGAACGGUGAAGCCAAGCUUGCUUGGUGGAUCAGUGGCGAACGGGUGAGUAACACGUGAGCAACCUGCCCUGAACUCUGGGAUAAGCGCUGGAAACGGUGUCUAAUACUGGAUAUGAGCUGCGGAGGCAUCUUCGUGGUUGGAAAGAUUUUUCGGUUUGGGAUGGGCUCGCGGCCUAUCAGCUUGUUGGUGAGGUAAUGGCUCACCAAGGCGUCGACGGGUAGCCGGCCUGAGAGGGUGACCGGCCACACUGGGACUGAGACACGGCCCAGACUCCUACGGGAGGCAGCAGUGGGGAAUAUUGCACAAUGGGCGGAAGCCUGAUGCAGCAACGCCGCGUGAGGGAUGACGGCCUUCGGGUUGUAAACCUCUUUUAGCAGGGAAGAAGCGUGAGUGACGGUACCUGCAGAAAAAGCGCCGGCUAACUACGUGCCAGCAGCCGCGGUAAUACGUAGGGCGCAAGCGUUAUCCGGAAUUAUUGGGCGUAAAGAGCUCGUAGGCGGUUUGUCGCGUCUGCUGUGAAAACCCGAGGCUCAACCUCGGGCCUGCAGUGGGUACGGGCAGACUAGAGUGCGGUAGGGGAGAUUGGAAUUCCUGGUGUAGCGGUGGAAUGCGCAGAUAUCAGGAGGAACACCGAUGGCGAAGGCAGAUCUCUGGGCCGUAACUGACGCUGAGGAGCGAAAGGGUGGGGAGCAAACAGGCUUAGAUACCCUGGUAGUCCACCCCGUAAACGUUGGGAACUAGUUGUGGGGUCCAUUCCACGGAUUCCGUGACGCAGCUAACGCAUUAAGUUCCCCGCCUGGGGAGUACGGCCGCAAGGCUAAAACUCAAAGGAAUUGACGGGGACCCGCACAAGCGGCGGAGCAUGCGGAUUAAUUCGAUGCAACGCGAAGAACCUUACCAAGGCUUGACAUACACGAGAACGCUGCAGAAAUGUAGAACUCUUUGGACACUCGUGAACAGGUGGUGCAUGGUUGUCGUCAGCUCGUGUCGUGAGAUGUUGGGUUAAGUCCCGCAACGAGCGCAACCCUCGUUCUAUGUUGCCAGCACGUAAUGGUGGGAACUCAUGGGAUACUGCCGGGGUCAACUCGGAGGAAGGUGGGGAUGACGUCAAAUCAUCAUGCCCCUUAUGUCUUGGGCUUCACGCAUGCUACAAUGGCCGGUACAAAGGGCUGCAAUACCGCGAGGUGGAGCGAAUCCCAAAAAGCCGGUCCCAGUUCGGAUUGAGGUCUGCAACUCGACCUCAUGAAGUCGGAGUCGCUAGUAAUCGCAGAUCAGCAACGCUGCGGUGAAUACGUUCCCGGGUCUUGUACACACCGCCCGUCAAGUCAUGAAAGUCGGUAACACCUGAAGCCGGUGGCCCAACCCUUGUGGAGGGAGCCGUCGAAGGUGGAUC
RNAcentral lists this ribosomal RNA (1426 nucleotides) under Microbacterium aurantiacum. Its description in RNAcentral is "partial 16S ribosomal RNA". It matches the Rfam family "Bacterial small subunit ribosomal RNA". The record is from RNAcentral. Lineage: Bacteria; Bacillati; Actinomycetota; Actinomycetes; Micrococcales; Microbacteriaceae.